AAAGGAAUAGACGGGGGCCCGCACAAGCGGUGGAGCAUGUGGUUUAAUUCGAAGCAACGCGAAGAACCUUACCAGGACUUGACAUCUACUUGACGUUAUCUGGAAACAGAUAACUGUCUUCGGACCAGGUAGACAGGUGGUGCAUGGUUGUCGUCAGCUCGUGUCGUGAGAUGUUGGGUUAAGUCCCGCAACGAGCGCAACCCUUGUCCUUAGUUGCCAGCACAUUUUGGUGGGCACUCUAAGGAGACUGCCGGUGAUAAACCGGAGGAAGGUGGGGAUGACGUCAAAUCCUCAUGCCCCUUAUGUUCUGGGCUACACACGUGCUACAAUGGCCUGUACAACGGGUUGCAAUGGGGUGACCUGGAGCUAAUCCUUUAAAACAGGUCUCAGUUCGGAUUGCAGGCUGCAACUCGCCUGCAUGAAGUCGGAAUCGCUAGUAAUCGCGAAUCAGAAUGCCGCGGUGAAUACGUUCCCGGGCCUUGUACACACCGCCCGU
This 496-nucleotide ribosomal RNA is filed under the name uncultured bacterium. Its description in RNAcentral is "bacterial SSU rRNA". It matches the Rfam family "Bacterial small subunit ribosomal RNA", at positions 903 to 1397 of the family's 1533-position model. The record is from RNAcentral.